AUGGCCGGCACGACGGACUGCAAAUCCCUACUUCCGCUUAUCAGCCUCUUUCAGUCUUUUCGGCUUAGCGGGAGUGGGACUGAGAACCCAAAAGGAGAAAUAAUCCACGCUGUGCCCUGGUGUAGUCUGGACAGUAGCGUGUGCGUUAGUGUCAAUCCAAUGAAGCAAAGUGUCAAUCCAGUGAAGCAGACAUUCCUGUUGCCUUGUUACCAACGCAUCUGAGUCUUCCUGUGCUUUUUUUGAGCAAAACUGUACUGUGAUUCUUGGGUAGGGAGAUGUCAGCCUGUGCUUUUGACUGAUUUCAUUGAACAUUUAUUGACUCUCAAGUCAGUGCCUUUAAGUAGAUGACGGUCUCUGAGUUAGCCCAACGCACCAACAGGUAAUUAUAAUACAAUAUGAAAAUUUCUGAGAUAAACACUAGGUUUUAAUGAACACGUUGAAGAAGGCCACCAAACAAUUCUCGAAGUGGAGUUUAAGAGCUAGGUGGGCACAUUCUACUUAGGUUUAUUAAACAAAUACUUAAUGAGUG
Molecule: long non-coding RNA, 529 nt
Filed under: Fukomys damarensis (Damara mole-rat)
Lineage: Eukaryota; Metazoa; Chordata; Mammalia; Rodentia; Bathyergidae
Description: lncRNA (ENSFDAG00000025941.1)
Source: RNAcentral